RNAcentral lists this ribosomal RNA (331 nucleotides) under uncultured bacterium. RNAcentral's name for it is "bacterial SSU rRNA". It matches the Rfam family "Bacterial small subunit ribosomal RNA", at positions 568 to 898 of the family's 1533-position model. The record is from RNAcentral.
CGCGUAGGCGGUCUGUCGAGUUAGGCGUGAAAGGCCUGGGCUUAACCCAGGAAUGGCGCUUAAUACUGACGGGCUUGAGAUUGGAAGAGGAGAGUGGAAUUCCCAGUGUAGAGGUGAAAUUCGUAGAUAUUGGGAAGAACACCGGUGGCGAAGGCGGCUCUCUGGUCCACAUCUGACGCUGAGGCGCGAAAGCGUGGGGAGCAAACAGGAUUAGAUACCCUGGUAGUCCACGCCGUAAACGAUGAGUGCUAGACGUUGGGGGGCUUGGCUCCUCGGUGUCGCAGCUAACGCGUUAAGCACUCCGCCUGGGGAGUACGGUCGCAAGAUUAAA